GGACUACAGGGGUAUCUAAUCCUGUUUGAUCCCCACGCUUUCGUGCCUCAGCGUCAAUAUUCCCGUAGUGAGCUGCCUUCGCAAUAGAUGUUCUAUGUCAUAUCUAAGCAUUUCACCGCUACAUGACAUAUUCCGCUCACCUCCAGGGUAUUCAAGACAAAUAGUAUCAAUGGCAGUUCUGUAGUUAAGCUACAGGAUUUCACCACUGACUUACCUGCCCACCUACGCACCCUUUAAACCCAGUGAAUCCGGAUAACGCUUGCACCCUCCGUAUUACCGCGGCUGCUGGCAC
This 292-nucleotide ribosomal RNA is filed under the name uncultured bacterium. RNAcentral describes it as "partial 16S ribosomal RNA". RNAcentral also lists the same sequence under 1 other name. The record is from RNAcentral.